UGGGGAAUAUUGGACAAUGGGCGCAAGCCUGAUCCAGCCAUGCCGCGUGAGUGAUGAAGGCCCUAGGGUUGUAAAGCUCUUUUGUGCGGGAAGAUAAUGACGGUACCGCAAGAAUAAGCCCCGGCUAACUUCGUGCCAGCAGCCGCGGUAAUACGAAGGGGGCUAGCGUUGCUCGGAAUCACUGGGCGUAAAGGGUGCGUAGGCGGGUCUUUAAGUCAGGGGUGAAAUCCUGGAGCUCAACUCCAGAACUGCCUUUGAUACUGAAGAUCUUGAGUUCGGGAGAGGUGAGUGGAACUGCGAGUGUAGAGGUGAAAUUCGUAGAUAUUCGCAAGAACACCAGUGGCGAAGGCGGCUCACUGGCCCGAUACUGACGCUGAGGCACGAAAGCGUGGGGAGCAAA
RNAcentral lists this ribosomal RNA (400 nucleotides) under uncultured bacterium. RNAcentral describes it as "bacterial SSU rRNA". It matches the Rfam family "Bacterial small subunit ribosomal RNA", at positions 355 to 772 of the family's 1533-position model. The record is from RNAcentral.